ACGAAAUGCAUUUACAUUAACGAGUGUGCUGCUCGUGCAGUCGGUCGGUCGGUCGGGCAUUAAAAACGUGUUAUUUAUUUUUGCAAAAUGACCUUGGCGCGGCGCGGAAAACGGCUAGCGCUGGUUGCAUCUGCCGUGCGAACAAGCGAGCCAGCGAAUAAACGUUGUGGCCUCCAAACCGGAAUAGACUCUGAUGACGCGAAAAGAUUCGCGAUCCGCGCGAGCGUCCCACCAGCUCAGCGCAGUAAUAAUGCUGCAUUACGUAAUUUCCAAGAGAGACACAAAAAGGAACUUGAAAACAAUGUCGAGCAAUACUGUUUCGACUACACGAAAAAAAAAAUGAACAUCUUGUGCUUUACAUGUUAGCGUUAAAUCAGCUAGGAGCGGGAAAACAACAAAAAAUGUCCAAAUGUGUGGUGGAUGAUGUCAUGGCGUCGGCUGUGUUUCACAUUACGUCAUCAAAUUCGCGUUAACUGACGACGGACGCGUCCCUGAUACUUUAUGUGAAGUAUGUGUGGAGACGAGUGGAGACCGUUGAGACGACGCCGACGUUUUGCUCUUGAAAAGGUCACGUGUCCAAAUUUCGUUAAAAAUUGCCCGGCGUAUUUCUUGGUUACCCGUAAUGCAUACAAAAAAAGAACUAGAAAUACAUUGAAGAUAAUCUGUGUAGGCGGUGUAGUAGCGUAGUAAGAAAUUGCAAUAGAGUAGUAUGUACGUAGUUUGUAGAAUGUGCGAGCGCGUAACAACAAAGGGUUUAUUUUUAGCACAUUGGCGAAAUUCGAAAUUGUAUAUAAUUCAGGGUGUCAGUAUGUCACGUCAGUGAAGCGAGUUGCUUAGCAACAGGCGCUUAGCCCGGCCUAUUUUCGGGCUCUAUUGAUCCGACCCAGCUCUCCUUCACUUGGGGUUAAACUCAGAGUCGGACUCGUCGGUGAACACAUGACGCGCACCCGGCGCGCAUGCCACUCUCCGUCCCUGCUGAUGUGCGUCGUUCAGGAAAGAAAUCGGAAGUGGUUGCACAUAUUAGGUGCCUCUACGAAGUUGUAGGUCUUGCAUGUGUAGCGGACAGUUGUUCAAUACUUACGAAGGAGGUCCCGUGUGUAUAUCGGUCCGAUGAUAAAAGAUAAAAUUAGAAUUAAAGCAGAGAGGAAAGAAGUGCGGCGUCGUUUUAAUAUUUCAUAGCUUAUUUCAGUAGUGACCCGAUUUUCAGCGGGAUUCUCGUGACAUUAAACAUUAAAACUUAAUAUGUCCGUUAAUCGUGAGUGUUGUAAUCAUUUUCAAAUGGAGAGUAAUCGUUAUCACAUCCUGGCCCGCUCUUAUAAACGAAAUUUAUAGCGCUAUGAUAAAUAAGCAAUAUUACAAGUGCUUUUUUGUGCGGAACGUAACAACGUUUGUUGAUUCGAAACAAAUUCGAAACGUCACGUUUCGGAGCGCAAAACUGAAUCUGCUCUCGGAGCAGCAACGGAUUUCUUUGUUCUCAGCGAACUCGCGAGCUCGCGUUGACUCUUUGUGAUCUUGCAUCACACGCGCUAGUGUGAGCUUUUUAUUCACAUCGAUUUCAUCAAAUUUAGGCCGAGUAGCAGUAAAAAAGUGCAACACGAGUCGCCUGCCGCACAACCACACAAACGCGUGUUUAUGCCAACGGCACUCAUCUAGCUUUCCUCCGAGAACGCCACGAUUGCGCGGUCGAAUAUGAAUGCAUAACACCACGAAACCACGAUUUAUCGGCAAAUGCAUGUGUUGGAUAGACGCUGCUGGAUGCGUGACAUGCGUGUUGCGCUCGUUUGCUGUGUAAUAUUCACAAGGCCUUGGCUCACAUCCAAAGCGCGCUCUCCGUCCACAAGCAUUGCGCCGUGUUCAUAAAUAUUCACUGUAUUCGUUCAUCAUCAUCGAUAUAUCGACAAGCAGUUUGUUAAUUGGUUUCUACUGUAAUUUGUUUUACUAGUAUUUUAGUUUAAAUAAUGAAAUACUGGUGCGCAGCGUUUCUGUACUUGAUUAUUCUGAUGGUUAGUUGAAGACUGGAUAGGUGAAUUUGUCGCAACGUCCUAAGUUCGAAUAACAACAUAAAAUAGCACGCCAUCUUCACGAAUAAAGCUGAACAAAAACUUCGAUUUCAUGCUGAAAGACAGGGACGAACUAAAA
This is a long non-coding RNA of Dalotia coriaria, 2139 nucleotides long. RefSeq lists it as uncharacterized. The transcript has 3 exons. Lineage: Eukaryota; Metazoa; Arthropoda; Insecta; Coleoptera; Staphylinidae. The record is from RefSeq and is a predicted model, not a curated record.